This 490-nucleotide ribosomal RNA is filed under the name uncultured bacterium. RNAcentral describes it as "partial 16S ribosomal RNA". It matches the Rfam family "Bacterial small subunit ribosomal RNA", at positions 29 to 507 of the family's 1533-position model. The record is from RNAcentral.
AGUGAACGCUGGCGGUAGGCCUAACACAUGCAAGUCGAACGGCAGCACAGGAGUGCUUGCUCUCUGGGUGGCGAGUGGCGGACGGGUGAGGAAUACAUCGGAAUCGGCCCAGUCGUGGGGGAUAACGUAGGGAAACUUACGCUACUACCGCAUACGACCUUCGGGUGAAAGAGGGGGAUCGCAAGACCUCUCGCGAUUGGAUGAGCCGAUGUCGGAUUAGCUAGUUGGCGGGGUAAUGGCCCACCAAGGCGACGAUCCGUAGCUGGUCUGAGAGGAUGAUCAGCCACACUGGAACUGAGACACGGUCCAGACUCCUACGGGAGGCAGCAGUGGGGAAUAUUGGACAAUGGGCGAAAGCCUGAUCCAGCCAUACCGCGUGGGUGAAGAAGGCCUUCGGGUUGUAAAGCCCUUUUGUUGGGAAAGAAAUCUUUCAGGCUAAUACCCUGGGAGGAUGACGGUACCAAAAGAAUAAGCGCCGGCUAACUUCGUG